AGUGAACGCUGGCGGUAGGCCUAACACAUGCAAGUCGAACGGCAGCACAGUAAGAGCUUGCUCUUACGGGUGGCGAGUGGCGGACGGGUGAGGAAUACAUCGGAAUCUACUUUUUCGUGGGGGAUAACGUAGGGAAACUUAUGCUAAUACCGCAUACGACCUACGGGUGAAAGCAGGGGAUCUUCGGACCUUGCGCGAUUGAAUGAGCCGAUGUCGGAUUAGCUAGUUGGCGGGGUAAAGGCCCACCAAGGCGACGAUCCGUAGCUGGUCUGAGAGGAUGAUCAGCCACACUGGAACUGAGACACGGUCCAGACUCCUACGGGAGGCAGCAGUGGGGAAUAUUGGGCAAUGGGCGCAAGCCUGAUCCAGCCAUACCGCGUGGGUGAAGAAGGCCUUCGGGUUGUAAAGCCCUUUUGUUGGGAAAGAAAAGCAGCAGGUUAAUACCCCGCUGUUCUGACGGUACCCAAAGAAUAAGCAACGGCUAACUUCGUG
This 492-nucleotide ribosomal RNA is filed under the name uncultured bacterium. RNAcentral's name for it is "partial 16S ribosomal RNA". It matches the Rfam family "Bacterial small subunit ribosomal RNA", at positions 29 to 507 of the family's 1533-position model. The record is from RNAcentral.